AAGUCUGUUACAGAUGUACAAGAUCCAUUGUGAAUCGACCGUUUUUCAUCUACUGGUAUGGUUUAGUUUCAAUGUCAAAAGAAUCUUUGUAAGUUAUUGGUUUGUUUGACCUCAAAAGUCAAACUUGAUCAUUUUUCAUCUACUGGUAUGGUUUAGUUUAUUUUUGAACAACCAAAUGCAACUCUUGGAUCAUGUAUGCAACUGGUCAACAACUUAUUAAGACCUGCUAUCAACAACCAACAGAUUCUCUCCGAGCCUAUUUCAUUAUCGGUAAGAAUCUUUCUUGAUUCUUACUGAUAUAAACAAAAAAGGGCGCGAUUAGUCUUGAGAAAUCGAGUCAGAUUGGAAUUAUUGCGGGGUUGUUGGCUGACAAAGAAAAAGAUAAGGUGGAUAAAGAUGCGUUGCUUGAUAGAAUGUCACAAAUUGAAGCUAUGUUAACAGCUACAGUUCGAAGAUAGGCUAUAAACACUUGGUUUUGAAUGUUUAGAUGUUUAUCAUAUUGGGAUAAUUUUAGUUAUUUUA
This is a long non-coding RNA of Helianthus annuus (common sunflower), 522 nucleotides long. RefSeq lists it as uncharacterized. NCBI's taxonomy places the organism in Eukaryota, Viridiplantae, Streptophyta, Magnoliopsida, Asterales, Asteraceae. The record is from RefSeq and is a predicted model, not a curated record. The transcript has 2 exons.